AGUGCACUCGGAAUAAAGCAACAAAGACUACAAAUGAAUAACAAAACUUUUAAAAUAAAAAUAAAAAUAAAUAAACGAGCAAGAAUGGAAGAAAAAGAAUAACGCGAUUGCGGAAGUGUCGGGACGAUCGAUAGCCUCAAGAGUGACUUCCUCAAUCGGGAACGGGAUAGUCGUCGGCAGGAUCGAUAAAUCCAGAGGCGAUAUUAGUCGCUGAUCCAGUUUAUAUUGUCUUUUUUUGUCUACAGUCACAACUUUAUAAUUUAUUUAAUAGUUAUUUAAAUUUUAUAAACUUACAGACUGAUUUAUACUCCGAAAGUAACUUUCGUUGAAAUUCUAUGAUCUCCAUGCAGCGAUUUGUCCAACUACUUUAUUUACAAACUCUCGAGAGCAUGACCAGCAAAACGUCAAACCCGUCCGCUGUGAUAAACAGAGUCGUUAAAUUAAUCCUCGACAAAUUCACACAUUUGGUCUCUUGGUAAUCAAUAAUUGCGAUAAAAGAAAAAUAAAAAUGAAAAUGAAAUAACAACAAAAGUUAAGCUCCGAUUAUCACAAAUUCUUAAUCGAAUUAUUCAUCACAAUUAUCUAUUUAAACAAUAUCUAUUGUCGUAAACCAAUCCGAGUUGGUCACGACUCGAGAUAGUUUCGUAAUUGAUAAAGACUCCUGAGAAAUUGAUAAGUGCACAUAAUUACGAUAAUAGCGGUAGCAUUAUACCUUUAUACCUUUUGUGAAGAAGCUCUCUGAAAAAAAAAUGAAUAAUAAAAUGUAAAAGAUGGGCCUGGUCUAGAUUGUUCUGGAUAGAAGGCUAACCCGACAAUGCUCAGCUUAUCUUUUUACAUUUUAUUUCAUUUAUUUCUAUUCUCUCGUCCAUUCUUACGCUACCACGAUUAUUAUUAUAACAGUAGGCUGGUCAACGAGUAGCAUUAAACCUAGUAGUCGCUGUUGUUGCUGCUGUUGCUGUUGUAGUCACCGUAUGGUGUCCUGCAAUCAUAACGCAAUCCUCGAGGAAAUGUGCAGCAGUUUUUGCGGAUGAAAAAAUUAUUUGUUGCAGAACCGGAUGGUGAUGAUUGCACGUCAAAUUAUGAAACGGCAAGAUUAAUUUGUAAGUAGUUGACAUCGUCUUUAAUUGUGUGAGUCUACGAGAGGAUUUAAUCCCAUUUAAGUGUAUAGA
Long non-coding RNA from Cotesia glomerata, 1169 nucleotides. RefSeq lists it as uncharacterized. Lineage: Eukaryota; Metazoa; Arthropoda; Insecta; Hymenoptera; Braconidae. The record is from RefSeq and is a predicted model, not a curated record. The transcript is spliced from 3 exons.